Long non-coding RNA from Micropterus salmoides (largemouth bass), 566 nucleotides. RefSeq lists it as uncharacterized. The record is from RefSeq and is a predicted model, not a curated record. The transcript is spliced from 2 exons. Lineage: Eukaryota; Metazoa; Chordata; Actinopteri; Centrarchiformes; Centrarchidae.
GUAUUUGUGUGUCCAGUGGUGAUGACUGAUGGGGAUGAAAAGCACACAGGGGCAUUGAGGAAAGAAGGCAUCACUCAAGCCCACAGCAUUGGAUGGAAGGAUGGGGGUUAUUUAUAAGCGUUUAGGGGGCACACCUGCCUCUGGAAUAUCACUACACAAUACCAGCUACUGUUGCCAGGCCUUCACUUCUCAUCAUACAUCAGCAGUGACUGUCAGACUAAGAAUAACUACUGGAACAAAGCAGCUGAGGUCCACCUUUUAUUAGUUCCUCUUCUUUCGGAAGGCUCCUCAGCUUCCUGCUCUACCAGAAACAUAUGCAGAGGAUAUCAAAGCCUGUAAUGGAUGAGUCGCUGUGGAGACAACACACUGUGGUAUCCCAGAUGUAUUCAUCCGGGGCCCUUUGCAAGAAACACGUGAAAGAAUUGGAGGAUGGUUUAACAACUUGGAGGGAUUGACAUGUAUAACUUGUUGGCAUGCCUACAUCUGAAAUAUUUUAUGCAAGGAUCAGAAACAUCAACCAAAAAAUAACUUGUGCAGCUUUGAAUAAAGUAUUGCUCUUACUGUAA